CUGAGUAACAGAGCAGGCAGCAUGGAGCCUGGGACAAACCCACAUCUAGCACCCUGAGGCCACAUUUGGUGGGAAGGUUGGUGGGGCAGGAUCUGCUCUUGGUUGCUGGUGGGAAGGAUCAGCUGAUGGAGAGACAUGAGAGCAGCUUUCCCCAAAUCCCAGAAGCCAACCUUUCCUUCAGGAAGCACUGGUCUGCUUAUUGGUGCAGUGAGCAGGGAUGGGCCACAUAAGUGGGUGGCAGUGGUGGAUGCUGGUCCCAUUGCGACCAGAUGCUGCUCUACAGGCAGAGCUUGAAAGGGAUGAACUCAGACACAGUGACAUGUAAAAAUUCCCACACUCCCAUGGCCCCGCAUACAUCAUGACAAACCUCCCCUUUCUCCCAUCUUAACACACAGAUGCCCCAGCCCUAUGCCUGCAGAAUGGUCAUCAUCCCUGCCCUGCUCCCCAAGGACAAAUACAGAGAUCCUUUCUGCAUGA
Suricata suricatta (meerkat) is the source of this 477-nucleotide long non-coding RNA. RefSeq lists it as uncharacterized. The record is from RefSeq and is a predicted model, not a curated record. The transcript has 2 exons. NCBI's taxonomy places the organism in Eukaryota, Metazoa, Chordata, Mammalia, Carnivora, Herpestidae.